Molecule: ribosomal RNA, 465 nt
Filed under: Vreelandella stevensii
Lineage: Bacteria; Pseudomonadati; Pseudomonadota; Gammaproteobacteria; Oceanospirillales; Halomonadaceae
Description: partial 16S ribosomal RNA
Rfam family: Bacterial small subunit ribosomal RNA
Source: RNAcentral
CCUACGGGUGGCUGCAGUGGGGAAUAUUGGACAAUGGGGGGAACCCUGAUCCAGCCAUGCCGCGUGUGUGAAGAAGGCCCUCGGGUUGUAAAGCACUUUCAGUGAGGAAGAACGCCUGGUGGUUAAUACCCAUCAGGAAAGACAUCACUCACAGAAGAAGCACCGGCUAACUCCGUGCCAGCAGCCGCGGUAAUACGGAGGGUGCGAGCGUUAAUCGGAAUUACUGGGCGUAAAGCGCGCGUAGGUGGCUUGAUAAGCCGGUUGUGAAAGCCCCGGGCUCAACCUGGGAACGGCAUCCGGAACUGUCAAGCUAGAGGGCAGGAGAGGAAGGUAGAAUUCCCGGUGUAGCGGUGAAAUGCGUAGAGAUCGGGAGGAAUACCAGUGGCGAAGGCGGCCUUCUGGACUGACACUGACACUGAGGUGCGAAAGCGUGGGUAGCAAACAGGAUUAGAUACCCUGGUAGUC